GAUGAACGCUGGCGGCGUGCUUAACACAUGCAAGUCGAACGAAGCACUUUAUUUGAUUUCCUUCGGGACUGAUUAUUUUGUGACUGAGUGGCGGACGGGUGAGUAACGCGUGGGUAACCUGCCUUGUACAGGGGGAUAACAGUUGGAAACGGCUGCUAAUACCGCAUAAGCGCCCAGCAUCGCAUGAUGCAGUGUGAAAAACUCCGGUGGUAUAAGAUGGACCCGCGUUGGAUUAGCUAGUUGGUGAGGUAACGGCCCACCAAGGCGACGAUCCAUAGCCGGCCUGAGAGGGUGAGCGGCCACAUUGGGACUGAGACGCGGCGCAGAAUCCUACGGGAGGCAGCAGUGGGGAAUAUUGCACAAUGGGCGAAAGCCUGAGGCAGCGACGCCGCGUGAGCGAAGAAGUAUUGCGGGAUGUAAAGCUCUAUCAGCAGGGAAGAUAAUGACGGUACCUGAAUAAGAAGCACCGGCUAACUACGUG
This 481-nucleotide ribosomal RNA is filed under the name uncultured bacterium. Its description in RNAcentral is "partial 16S ribosomal RNA". It matches the Rfam family "Bacterial small subunit ribosomal RNA", at positions 28 to 507 of the family's 1533-position model. The record is from RNAcentral.